Molecule: long non-coding RNA, 255 nt
Filed under: Carica papaya (papaya)
Lineage: Eukaryota; Viridiplantae; Streptophyta; Magnoliopsida; Brassicales; Caricaceae
Description: long non-coding RNA (CPAP_LNC001548)
Source: RNAcentral
AAAUAAAAACUUUAUACAUGGUUACCCUAAAACCUUAACAAUAUUUACCUGAUGAAAAACUACAAUACUUAAUUCAUAAGAUCGAAAGGAUCUUUCCAAUCAAUUGUGGAGUGGUCAAAUUUUAUACUUUAUGAAAUCAAUAUAAGAAUAAGUCCUUUGUUCUUAUUCACCACCUUCCUUCACAUACCAAACUUCCUCCGCGUUGGAGUACUCCCUUGUUCCUCAAUUUCUUUAUUAUUCCUUAGCUAUUUACCU